ACGCUCGACACCUACGGGGCAGCAGUUGGGAAUAUUGGACAAUGGAGGAAACUCUGGAUCCAGUGACGCCGCGUGAAGGAAGAAGGUCUUCGGAUUGUAAACUUAUUUUGUCAGGGAAGAAAAAAUGACUGUACCUGAAGAAAAAGCACCGGCUAACUACGUGCCAGCAGCCGCGGUAAUCUGAGCGGGCUGGCAAGGC
RNAcentral lists this ribosomal RNA (199 nucleotides) under uncultured bacterium. RNAcentral describes it as "partial 16S ribosomal RNA". It matches the Rfam family "Bacterial small subunit ribosomal RNA", at positions 326 to 539 of the family's 1533-position model. The record is from RNAcentral.